CCAGGAGUUCCUCCUUCAUUCCCAGGUAACUACACUAGGGCCAGGAGUUCCUCCUUCAUUCCCAGGUAACUACACUAGGGCCAGGAGUUCCUCCUUCAUUCUCAGGUAACUACACUAGGGCCAGGAGUUCCUCCUUCAUUCCCAGGUAACUACACUAGGGCCAGGAGUUCCUCCUUCAUUCCCAGGUAACUACACUAGGGCCAGGAGUUCCUCCUUCAUUCCCAGGUAACUACACUAGGGCCAGGAGUUCCUCCUUCAUUCCCAGGUAACUACACUAGGGCCAGGAGUUCCUCCUUCAUUCCCAGGUAACUACACUAGGGCCAGGAGUUCCUCCUUCAUUCCCAGGUAACUACACUAGGGCCAGGAGUUCCUCCUUCAUUCCCAGGUAACUACACUAGGGCCAGGAGUUCCUCCUUCAUUCCCAGGUAACUACACUAGGGCCAGGAGUUCCUCCUUCAUUCCCAGGUAACUACACUAGGGCCAGGAGUUCCUCCUUCAUUCUCAGGUAACUACACUAGGGCCAGGAGUUCCUCCUUCAUUCCCAGGUAACUACACUAGGGCCAGGAGUUCCUCCUUCAUUCCCAGGUAACUACACUAGGGCCAGGAGUUCCUCCUUCAUUCCCAG
Long non-coding RNA from Oncorhynchus keta (chum salmon), 625 nucleotides. RefSeq lists it as uncharacterized. NCBI's taxonomy places the organism in Eukaryota, Metazoa, Chordata, Actinopteri, Salmoniformes, Salmonidae. The transcript is spliced from 3 exons. The record is from RefSeq and is a predicted model, not a curated record.